RNAcentral lists this microRNA precursor (64 nucleotides) under Monopterus albus (swamp eel). RNAcentral's name for it is "Mal-Mir-219-P3b_pre stem-loop". It matches the Rfam family "mir-219 microRNA precursor family", at positions 9 to 72 of the family's 79-position model. From Rfam's summary of the family: The hairpin precursors (represented here) are predicted based on base pairing and cross-species conservation -- their extents are not known. The record is from RNAcentral. Lineage: Eukaryota; Metazoa; Chordata; Actinopteri; Synbranchiformes; Synbranchidae.
UGAUUGUCCAAACGCAAUUCUUGUAUUACUUCUCCACUUCCAGGAGUUGUGGAUGGACAUCAGA